UACGGAGGGUGCAAGCGUUGUUCGGAAUUACUGGGCGUAAAGCGCGCGUAGGCGGCUAUUUAAGUCAGAUGUGAAAGCCCAUGGCUCAACCAUGGACGUGCAUUUGAUACUGGAUAGCUUGAGUACUGGAGGGGGUGGUGGAAUUCCCGGUGUAGAGGUGAAAUUCGUAGAUAUCGGGAGGAAUACCGGUGGCGAAGGCGACCACCUGGCCAGAUACUGACGCUGAGGUGCGAAAGCGUGGGGAGCAAACAGG
Molecule: ribosomal RNA, 253 nt
Filed under: uncultured bacterium
Lineage: Bacteria
Description: partial 16S ribosomal RNA
Rfam family: Bacterial small subunit ribosomal RNA
Source: RNAcentral